RNAcentral lists this non-coding RNA (23 nucleotides) under Cricetulus griseus (Chinese hamster). Lineage: Eukaryota; Metazoa; Chordata; Mammalia; Rodentia; Cricetidae. The record is from RNAcentral.
UACAUAACAGCAAUUCUGAAAUA